Molecule: long non-coding RNA, 3602 nt
Organism: Vespa crabro (European hornet)
Lineage: Eukaryota; Metazoa; Arthropoda; Insecta; Hymenoptera; Vespidae
Exons: 10
Source: RefSeq, a predicted model, not a curated record
UUUUUAAAGUAAAUAGUAUAAUUAAAAAAAAGUUAUAUAUAACAUUUAGGAAAUAAUAAAAAUUUGAUGAUAUGAUGCGAUCACUGCACGGAGGGGAACCCUAGGAAGUUAAGUACGACUCAACGGUCGGCCCUAAUUUCAGUCACAUCCGCAUAUCAUACAAUCGCAACGGAAUCUCUGUGUGCCAUAGCAGGAGAGCCCCUGAUUAAUUUCUAGUUAAACAAACGGAGCAGAUUAUACGACCUUAGGAAGAACAGGAACAUCGAGAAAGCGAGUAGAAAAUUGGAAGACAUGAAGCUUAAGCGCGCGUUAGUAGAACAGAUCGACGAGAACAUCCUUGCAAAUUAACGGUCGAGAUGGGAGAAUUCCUCCAAAGGAAGGACGACAUUUACUUUUUUCCCGGACAUCAAGAAAAGCAUGGGUGUCCGUUUCGUCACUCCAAACUACUUUUCAACACAAUUUCUUUCAGAUCAUGCGGCUUUCAAAGUAAAACUAACGUCGCUGAACCUCGUCACGGAUGGAACAUGCGAGUGUGGCGAAGAAGACAUGGUUUCGGAACACAUCAUCGAAUGUCCGAUUUUCAAACCUCAGAGAGUUGCUCUGAAAGAAAUAUUCUGCGAAAAGAGCUGGCCAGAAGCAACGAGACAUCUUGUCUUCACGGCUGAGGCCUUUUCCUUUUUCGCGGUUUUGUAAAGAAACCAUCUAUAUUAAGGGUAAUUAGUUCAUAAAUCCUGUUCAGCUAGGAUUGUCGGAGUUCUGGUGAUGAGGGUGGGUGUCUGUAAUGUUUUCAGGUUAACUUACUCUCGAAUAGGAUAAAGUCGAAGAUGCUUGCAUGCAUCUCCCUAUUUUUUUUUCUUCUCAUUACAACCUAAUACUCUCCCUAAAACUUGCUAUCCUACCAAUCCCAUCCUAUCCUACGGAACGAGUGUCAAGGAUCGUGGCAUUGUGAGCGGGUCUUUCCGUGGUUUCCCGUGGGCACAACCGACAUCAGCGUGGUGAUUCGUUGCUGCGAGGAUAUGUCUAAACCACUCACCUUAUUUCGCUGGCAGGAGUUUUGGGUUUUUCCGAAUUCGGUCACUUGGCUGUGGUGGCUGAUGUCUUUAGGUGGUUUCGUAGCGUAUGCCGUAAUGGACGAGGUAGCAUUGGUGCAGACACCCUACGGGUGUUCACCUUUACACUAUACUGUUCCAUCAUGGCUGCGAUAUUGGAUGAAUGAGUUGCCGUGUGCUCCGCGUUUUGUGAAAAUUUUUCCGGUUUACUACAUUUUGCCUGUGAAAAUUUAUAUCUCACUCGUUAAUUAGAGUGCGGUGAACAAAGUGAGAUAAUAAUCAAUACUGGGGAUUGAUUAAUUACUCUAUAAUUAAUGAGAAAUGUACUCAGUAAUUUUAUGGAGGUUACGUUCGUUUUUGCGGAAGUGGCACUUUAUAUUCUAUGGACGAACGGUGGAUUCAACUGAUAAUUUCAGUUGCAAGACGGAAGUGGAUUUGCAACUAAUUCACGCCGUACUGUGAUUAGCUGUUGGAUUGGACAAUAACAAUUUGUAGUGUUAGUGCACAUUAUUUAUUUUUCGAUAGUUGGCGCACAUGCGUUACUCCUAACCUCAAAUCUUAAAUGCGCGGGAGACGUACGGAACUUCAGGCAUGGCUCUACAGACUUUGUCACCUGAGACUUCAGGCACGGCUCUACAGACCUUUUCGUCCGUGAUGAGUUCCACUAAAAGUACAAGUCUCUACCGGUUUCCCUACUAUUGCUCUCAUUUUGGAUUCGCCUGCGCCAACAGCUUUUCACGGAGCUUCAUCGUCCUUCUAUUUACAGGUGAUACUGUAUGAUACUUUUUCUUCUCGAAAAAUAUGGAAAACAGUGUUUAGACCAAUAAUGAAAACAGGCGUAAUUCUUAAGCAUAAUUUUGAUGAACGCUGAGCAUGGAAUUAUGAUCAGUAAAUUUAUAUAGUGGAGGAAUGAAUUGAUUGACACAGUUGUUCAUCAUGCAACUAAUGGAAGAGAAGUUGUUUUGUUUUAGAUUAUUAAUGCACAAUUAAUGGAGUGAUGGAUGAAUCAAUCUUUGUUUCGGUAAAAUAAAAGAAUUCCAUAGACUAUACUUUAUAUGUGAAACAUCCAAUGGAAUUAAAUUUAUUAUCUGUCAAUUGAUCAAUAAAUAAUUAACGCGUAUUAGAAUCAAUACACCAUGGAAGACGGUCAAGAAUCGAAGUAUAUUUCUUCUAUAGAACAAUAAUAUCAAUCUACUGCAACUUCAACCUACUUCAUUUUCAAUUUACUUCGAUGUAAAUCUAUCUUAUUUUUGACUUAUUACGAGUCAAUCUACUCUAAUUUCACCCUACAAUAAGGAUGAAUGUUUUGGACCGUGGAAUUUCUUAAAUAAGUGGAUGAUCUGGGCGAUGCCAGUAGUAUGCCUUGGCAAAGUGUAUCUGUAUCUAUUUUAUCACGUUGCCUGCCGUGGGGGUAACCGAUGACCGGCACUCGACUUGGCUACAGCGCCGUGGAGGCCACUGGUGACCAGCGACGCGACGAAUAGUAAAAAUACAUAAUUAGGAACAUGUAAUUAUAAUUUUAUCAAUACAAGGAAAAUAUACAUGUUAUUUGUGCACAUAACGAUGAAUCACAUUGAUACACGAAUCUCUAUUCUGCUGUCAGCGAUGCAGUAGUCAAAACAGGAACUGCUUCUAAUGUAUGUGGGAUUGGCUGCCGAAUAGAUUGUUGUUUUGAAUUGAAUACCGUUAUUUUGUUCUCAUUGAUGUAGGCGUCUACCUUUAUCGUUUAUGUAGUCUUAUCUUCCAAUAUGUGUUUCUUGCAUUUAAGUAGUGAUUUAUUUGCGUUUACCAUUAUUCUCACAGCUGAGUAUUCUAUUAUCUUGUAUUUCUUUGGCUGCGUGAUGUUUACAUAUUUGAUAUUAUUGUUUAAUACUAUUGCUGUACCACCUUCAUUGGAAUUUAUUGCUCUAUCCGAUCUGAUUAUGUCAUAAUUGUUAAAUUUUAGUUUAUAUUUAUUAUUUAGUUUAGUUUCUGAUAUCGUUACAGUAACAUAUCUAUACUCAUCUAAGUAUUUUUGUAAAUCUAAUCUAUUUUUUAAUGAGCAAAGUGAGUUCACAUUUAUAGUGGACAUUUUCAGUAUGUUAUUUAUUUUAGUAUUUAACCUUAUUCUGCCUGCCAUUGUGACAUGUAGUCGAUUCUCAUUGUAUUUUGAAUAAUUUUGUUAUUCAACUUCAAUUCAAUAAGUUGCUCUUUUAUUUCCUUCAAACUAUCUUUUAUCCUUUGCACUUUGAACUAUUCUGAACUCUGCCUAUUAGCUACUUAGCGCUACUUUGUGGCAGAAAUGUGUAUUUACAGACCCUCGUAUUAUUUAGUAUGGUUUUGGGAAUAACUAACAUAUUAUAAUGAUAUUGGACUUAUAUGAAUUGGUUGAAAUCGAGAAAUGUAUAUAAUAUUUCGGAUCUAUUAGGUGAGGCGAUAAACGAAAAUAUGUUUCUCUGAGAACAAAAGAAUAAAUCUUUAUUUGUUAAUUAAUAAUUAAUUGCUAUUUACAGUCUUACCUGUGAACAAAAAAACAACAAUUCACGUUUAUUAUUCACACUACUUAAAUUUUAU